ACCAGCAGCCAUAUCACCCUGCAACUCACAACUGGUAACCCACUGAAGCUAAGCAGGUGUGAGCCUGGUCAGUACCUGGAUGGAGACCUCCUGGGAAAAAACGAAGGUUGCUGCUGGAA
RNAcentral lists this ribosomal RNA (119 nucleotides) under Lepisosteus oculatus (spotted gar). The record is from RNAcentral. Lineage: Eukaryota; Metazoa; Chordata; Actinopteri; Semionotiformes; Lepisosteidae.